This is a long non-coding RNA of Chenopodium quinoa (quinoa), 1561 nucleotides long. RefSeq lists it as uncharacterized. The record is from RefSeq and is a predicted model, not a curated record. Lineage: Eukaryota; Viridiplantae; Streptophyta; Magnoliopsida; Caryophyllales; Amaranthaceae. The transcript is spliced from 2 exons.
UAGCUAAUGUAACUUGAUUGCUGAAGUACCCCAAUUGUCAAUAGUGUAACGAAAUGGUUAUAGUUGUAACCUAACUAGAAACUUAAGCAAGAUUCGAGAAUCCUAAGCCCUAGUAUCCCUAUUCAUAGGUAGUAAUCCAAAAAGAAUAGUAAGUUGGGCCCCACCACCCUCCAUAUCAUCCAUCCCCCCUCUAUAAAUUGAUGGGUAGCUGAAAAUACUCUUAUUCAACCACUACCCCAGUUCUAAAUCUAAAUUCUCUGUUGUUAUAAAAAAAAACAACCCCCACUUUUCCAUUAAAAAAAAAUAGAAAAACCAACCCUCAUGGCAUACCCACUUGGUUUUUAUGAGAAAGAAGUAACAGAGGCUUUCCACUGUUUUGACCACAACCACAACACACAACACACAGCCAGAGAUCGAUUUCAACAACUACAUUUACUUCUAUAGUAACACUGGCCGUCUUACCACUAAGGUCGUUGAUCACGAGACCCUGAGAGACAUUUUAGCAAAACUUGAGGAGAGACAGGGCCUCCUCGACAAGCUGAUGAUGGUUGAAGAGUACGGUAUUGUCUACCCUGCUCACUUUCCCAAUGUUGCUGAUGUCAUAGCGUUGCCGACGGUGCAGGCUGCCAUACGGGAGUUAGAAGAGGGGCCUGUUGAGUACGAAGGGGUUACUCCUUUUGUUCCCAAAUUGAUUAACCCCUUAAUUGAUCCCAAGCCUGUCCUUGCUCGUGCUGGGCCCAUUUAUUCGAUUCGAAACGAAGCCAUCGACUGCAACUUUGGGUGCUACUCGGAUGAGAUAUUGUUCUUCCAGGUAAAUACUUUGUGCUUUGUGUACUUGGAAGUGUGUAUAUUUAUAAGUUUAUCGAGGAAGAUCCAUCUAGUCGAUACCAAUUUGAACUUCACGGUCUUCCGGGACAAGUUUAUCGAGGAAGAUCCAUCUAGUCGAUACCAGUCAGUGAAGCUGGUUCCCUAAGUUGGAGAAGGGGAUGUCAAAUUGGAGGUGGGAGCAAGUGCUGUGCUGUGGAAUGGCGGCCAUAUCACAAGGCCUUCUUUUGGACCGCAUUUUGAUGAAGUUAUCAAAACACACAAGCCAAUCUUGAUGAUUAUUACUGAGGUGGGGGCACAAUCAACUAACUGUGAGAGGGUGCUCAAAGGACUCAACACAUCCAUGGCUUGGAAGGUUGAUGAUGGUAAGGGAGCAACUGGAGGAUGUGUCGUGCUGUGGGAUCCAUGUAAGGUUCAGAGUGAAGUUAUUGUGGCUGAUAAGAUCUACAAGAUUGAUCUUCGCAUAGUAGGAUCUGUGUGUGGUGUGGGGAUGAAUUAAGGACCGAGUAAUCUGAAGUUAAAUGUAAGGUGCUUCUGUUGUGUUCCAUAGGUUGCUGUCUGUUCCAGAGGAAGAUGUUUCCUACUAUGUACUAGAUUAUGUACUUUGUUUAGGGUGUUAUGUACUAGAAUUCCGAUUUGUGUCUUCUAUUAGUGUGUGUUUAGGGUAUGAAUUAUUGUAUUAAACUCUGUUAUGUGGGUUAGACUCUUAACUAUUGGGUGGUAUGUGCUUUUAUUA